This 68-nucleotide transfer RNA is filed under the name Pteronotus rubiginosus. RNAcentral's name for it is "transfer RNA-His". It matches the Rfam family "tRNA". From Rfam's summary of the family: Transfer RNA (tRNA) molecules are approximately 80 nucleotides in length. Lineage: Eukaryota; Metazoa; Chordata; Mammalia; Chiroptera; Mormoopidae. The record is from RNAcentral.
GUAGAUAUAGUUUAAUAAAAACAUUAGAUUGUGAAUCUAAAAACAGAAGCCAACAAUUCUUAUCUACC